RNAcentral lists this ribosomal RNA (371 nucleotides) under uncultured bacterium. RNAcentral's name for it is "bacterial SSU rRNA". It matches the Rfam family "Bacterial small subunit ribosomal RNA", at positions 28 to 401 of the family's 1533-position model. The record is from RNAcentral.
GACGAACGCUGACGGCGUGCUUAACACAUGCAAGUCGAGCGGUAAGGCCCUUUCGGGGGUACACGAGCGGCGAACGGGUGAGUAACACGUGGGUGACCUGCCCUUAGCUCUGGGAUAAGCCUGGGAAACUGGGUCUAAUACCGGAUAUGACUCCAUAACGCAUGUUGUGGGGCGGAAAGCCUUGUGCGGCUAGGGAUGGGCCCGCGGCCUAUCAGCUUGUUGGUGGGGUGAUGGCCACCAAGGCGACGACGGGUAGCCGGCCUGAGAGGGCGACCGGCCACACUGGGACUGAGACACGGCCCAGACUCCUACGGGAGGCAGCAGUGGGGAAUCUUGCGCAAUGGGCGAAAGCCUGACGCAGCGACGCCGCG